CCUACGGGUGGCAGCAGUGGGGAAUAUUGCACAAUGGGGGAAAGCCUGAUGCAGCGACGCCGCGUGAGUGAAGAAGGAAUUCGGUAUGUAAAGCUCUAUCAGCAGGGAAGAAAAUGACGGUACCUGAGUAAGAAGCCCCGGCUAACUCCGUGCCAGCAGCCGCGGUAAUACGGAGGGGGCAAGCGUUAUCCGGAUUUACUGGGUGUAAAGGGAGCGUAGACGGCAGUGCAAGUCUGGAGUGAAAGGCGGGGGCUCAACCCCCGGAUUGCUCUGGAAACUGUACGGCUGGAGUGCAGGAGAGGUAAGUGGAAUUCCUAGUGUAGCGGUGAAAUGCGUAGAUAUCAGGAGGAACACCAGUGGCGAAGGCGGUUUACUGGACUGUAACUGACGUUGAGGCUCGAAAGCGUGGGGAGCAAACAGGAUUAGAUACCCUAGUAGUC
RNAcentral lists this ribosomal RNA (440 nucleotides) under uncultured bacterium. Its description in RNAcentral is "partial 16S ribosomal RNA". It matches the Rfam family "Bacterial small subunit ribosomal RNA", at positions 338 to 795 of the family's 1533-position model. The record is from RNAcentral.